This 433-nucleotide ribosomal RNA is filed under the name uncultured bacterium. RNAcentral describes it as "partial 16S ribosomal RNA". It matches the Rfam family "Bacterial small subunit ribosomal RNA", at positions 29 to 507 of the family's 1533-position model. The record is from RNAcentral.
AACGAACGCUGGCGGCAUGCCUAACACAUGCAAGUCGAACGAGACCUUCGGGUCUAGUGGCGCACGGGUGCGUAACGCGUGGGAACCUGCCCUUAGGUUCGGAAUAACUCCCCGAAAGGGGUGCUAAUACCGGAUAAUGUCUUCGGACCAAAGAUUUAUCGCCUUUGGAUGGGCCCGCGUUGGAUUAGCUAGUUGGUAGGGUAAAAGCCUACCAAGGCGACGAUCCAUAGCUGGUCUGAGAGGAUGAUCCGCCACACUGGGACUGAGACCCGGCCCAGACUCCUACGGGAGGCAGCAGUGGGGAAUAUUGGACAAUGGGCGAAAGCCUGAUCCAGCAAUGCCGCGUGAGUGAUGAAGGCCUUAGGGUUGUAAAGCUCUUUUACCCGGGAUGAUAAUGACAGUACCGGGAGAAUAAGCUCCGGCUAACUCCGUG